CACAAAGCUGGGUCCACAGUUAGCGCCCUGCAAAAAUAGCAAUAGUCUUAAAGUAGAGUAGAUGAUUAACUUUUCUCCCCUACAUUUCCCCCACUUCAUCAGUUCUUAGCUACACUGGCUGUUAGCCAAUUAGUUCCGUUUCCACAAGAAACCUUUAAGAAACAUUAAUGUGGUAGAUCUGAAAAGAAGGUUGUGCAGGGUAAAAAGAAAGCAACAUGAACAUCAGAAAGGAGAUUAACUACAGGAAAGAGCAGACGAAGCCAAAAGAAAAAGAAACGAAGAAAGCCAAGGGACACAGCAAAAGAGCUCUCAAAAUCAGGGGUUUUCAACCCUUUUUGGUUGGGGUAGCCCCAGCAGCUGGUUAAGAAGCAGGGAGUGCCUCAACGACCGGUGGAUGAUCUGGAGGGGGGGAAGAGGGCAAAUCCCCCAGCGAAGCAGCAAGCUCAGAAGUGCCAGCAGCAAACCAGAAAGUGCCAGCAGUUUCUACGCACCGCUGCCACAUACCCCCUGGGGCCUUCCAAAGUACCCCCAGGGGUAUGCAUACCCCCAGUUGAAAACCCCUGCUCUAUGAUACAUGGUAAAAUGGAAAAGCAAGCCAGGAAGCCAACUGGUACAUCCACAAUAUACCCAGGUAGCAUUUGAGCCAAGAACAUGGAACUUGAUUCCCCCCUUCUCCACAUUAGCCAGUCCAUUAGGAAAAGAGAGAAGAAAUCUACCCUGAUGUAG
Long non-coding RNA from Alligator mississippiensis (American alligator), 726 nucleotides. RefSeq lists it as uncharacterized. Lineage: Eukaryota; Metazoa; Chordata; Crocodylia; Alligatoridae. The transcript is spliced from 3 exons. The record is from RefSeq and is a predicted model, not a curated record.